Molecule: long non-coding RNA, 490 nt
Organism: Phascolarctos cinereus (koala)
Lineage: Eukaryota; Metazoa; Chordata; Mammalia; Diprotodontia; Phascolarctidae
Source: RefSeq, a predicted model, not a curated record
UAAUGACUUACAACUGGAACUUAGAAGCCACUUAGUCUAACCUCGCCAUUUUACACAUCCUGAAACUGAGAGCCAAAGGGAAGAAGCCAUCUACACAAAAUCAAGCAGACAGGCUGAGACUAAAAGACAUCUACCAGCCUCCCAAGACUUCGAAAGAAGUAAUCCCUGUGAUGUUAAAGAAUGAUAGAACAGGCAAUAAAUACCUAUGGGAAAUGGCGUGCACACAGAACACCACUUGCUCCAUAGAAUCUUCCUCCUCCAUGAGCUCACCAAUGCUUCUCCAUGCUUAUAACUGUGGAAGGAAUAAAGCUUUUUACUGACCUGUACUCUAAAAUCCUAAAGAAGAAUAUGAAAAUGAUACAACAGAACACAUAGACUCAAAACAAGAUCAAGAAACUGAUGUGGAUAGAGAGCAACAUGAAGAAACAAAGAAGUUACUCCUGAAUGGAAAAGAUGAAUUGUAAAUAUCUUUCGCUAUUGGAAAACAGUG